This 352-nucleotide unclassified non-coding RNA is filed under the name soil metagenome. RNAcentral describes it as "partial contains 5.8S ribosomal RNA, internal transcribed spacer 2, and large subunit ribosomal RNA". The stretch from base 1 to 120 matches the Rfam family "5.8S ribosomal RNA", at positions 35 to 154 of the family's 154-position model. The record is from RNAcentral.
GAUGAAGAACGUAGUGAAAUGCGAUAAGUAGUGUGAAUUGCAGAAUUCAGUGAAUCAUCGAAUCUUUGAACGCACAUUGCGCCCGCCAGUAUUCUGGCGGGCAUGCCUGUUCGAGCGUCAUUACAACCCUCAGGCCCCCGGGCCUGGCGUUGGGGAUCGGCGGAAGCCCCCUGUGGGCACACGCCGUCCCUCAAAUACAGUGGCGGUCCCGCCGCAGCUUCCAUUGCGUAGUAGCUAACACCUCGCAACUGGAGAGCGGCGCGGCCAUGCCGUAAAACACCCAACUUCUGAAUGUUGACCUCGAAUCAGGUAGGAAUACCCGCUGAACUUAAGCAUAUCAAUAAGCGGAGGA